AAACAUAUUCCAAAAGUUCUUGGUAAAAAUUUCGAAGUACCAUUACUCUAGUCUAAAGUAGGAGGGGAAAUUGCCACUCAUAUGAACAGUGUUUUGGCCCACAUUUCAAUUUAUUUACAAGAUUGCCACUCGGAUGCUUUUAGCUUUUAACGACGGUGCCAUCGGUUCGAAUGACGGGAAUUCCUGUCUAGGGUUAACAUUGCACGGUUGGGGGUAAAUGUUGGGUGGGCAUUGUUGUCAGUUAGGGUUGCAUUCGGUGGGAUCGAUGGCUCAGUGUGGUGUGGGAUUUGGUGGGAAGGCAUGCUGCUUGCAGAGAGGAGGAGAGAGAGGGGAGGGAGGGGGAGGGGGAGGGGGAGGGGGAGAGAGAGGGGUUUGGUGAGGGGAAGGCAUGCGACUUGCAGAGAGGAGAGAAGCUUAAAAGCAACUGCAGCAAGUUCAAUGGACAGGGUCGCAGCAAUGGAGACACCUUGGUCUGAACCAUUUCCCCUCUCCUCAGGCGAAUGCUGAACAAAGAGAAGAAGACCUACACAUAAUAGAAUCCGAUUCGCAAGGAAAAGAAGACAGCUAAAAUCAAUCCCUUCGACCUCCUCAUUGGCGGCGGCACCCACGAUCACCAGUGUUCUAAGUGAUCAUCGGGUUGUGAUGGGUUGGUGUUGGAUUUGAUUCGAUUGAGGAUAAUGUGGCGGAGACAAUAAUUCCCAAAUCCUCCAGCUUUCGGAUCAUACAAUCGUCCCACCGCAAAAAUGAUUGCGAUCCCUUAUUUAACCGCGUUAACCACGUACUUAUAUGCUAUGGAUUGCUCUUCGUUUUUGGCCAAGUCAGAGAUUUCUUCCGCAAAAUCAUUGAUUGGAGGAGUGCUAGCAAUUUGCAGGGUUAUGCUCCAAUUUGUUUAGGACUUGAAGAUUUCUAUGUUCGCCGGCUUUAUCUUCGAAUUCAGGAUGUUUCAAUAGGCUUAUUGCAAGUGCUCUUGAUGCUUGGUUUGAUGUGGUUGAAUGCUACUCCAAUGACUACAACAAAACACUCAAGCUAACCAAAAAAACCAGUAGAUGCCUUAACUUGGGAUCUUACAAUUACCUUGGCUUUGCUGCAUCUGAUGAGUACUGCACACCUCGCGCUAUUGAGACGUUGAAAAAAUAUUCUCCCAGUUCCUGUAGUAGCCGAGUUGAUGGGGGCACCACGGAUUUGCAUAAUGAACUGGAAGAGUGUUGUAAAUUUUGUUGGGAAACCUGCUGCUGUAGUUUUCGGAAUAGGUUAUGUCACAAACUCUGCUAUCCUUCCUGUUCUGAUGGGGAAGGGAGGCUUGAUUGUUAGUGAUUUCUUUGAACCACAACUCCAUUGUCAAUGGCGCAGAGGAUCUGGAGCUAGAGUUUGUGUUUUCCAACACAAUAGUGGAUUACCAAAAGGAGCUCAUCAAGUAUUAUGCGAGCAAGAUCAACCUUGAUCAUUUGGAUAUUUAAAGGAGCCAUUGAUAAAGGAAAGACGACAAGUUGUGAAGCUGUGUGCCAAUUUUGCCAAUUUUGCAGACAAGCAGAAACUCUGGCACAAUGAUCAAACAGGCUUUCAUGUUGCGUAUUUUAAUUAAUAGCUGUGAAACCCACUGUUUGUUGCACCACAGACGGUCUUGCCUCUGUCCUAUCCUCCUCUCGCCGCUGUCUCCCUUCUCUCGCCUCCGUCGUCUUAUUCCUCCUUUCUCUGUCUCUGGAAUCUUAUCGUCAUCUUCCUCGCAUGCAAGGCUCUGGCCCUCUCAAUUGAAACUAAAACGUGUUUCAGUUAUGAGGAAGAGCAAGAAGAAGGAAGAACCAGUAUUAGAAUAUCUUCCCAAAGAGUACUAUGAUGAUUCUAAGCCAUGAAGGAUUUGAUAAACCCACAAUUGAUACCAAUGUGCAGCGGCACGGCACCAACGGUUUUGGACAAGGAACAAUCUCCAUCUGGUACAUUUGUCCAUCCUUCUGGAGUGGAGCACUACUUUCUGACAGCAUAAAUGCUCUGAGAAACUGCUAUGGAGACAAACAGUAGUUUACUUCAUUCUAGAUAAUGCUGCCUUUUUGGAUUUCGUAUAAGUGUCCCGGGUCCAUUCUGGACCAUCAAAAGAGGGAUGAUCACUGUCAUUCGGACUGUGCGCAUCCACUUCAAAAUCCCGGUAAACAUGUCCUUUUCUUGAUUUCAGGCCAUGCAAAAUUCUUGGUGAUAAAACUGAGCUCGUGUCGUUGGUUUGUGCCUCUAUCCAAUUUCUUAUUUAUUUAUUUUAUCAAUCCUUUUCCUUCUUGGUUCUAUUUGUUGUUGCUGGUUCCGAUAUUUCAUUGUCCUAUCUGUGCAUGAUAUCAGUGCUGCCACUUUUCAUAUUCUUAUCAAUGCUUACAUCUUCACUCUUUUCCUUCUGUUUCUUUUGCUUAACAUGGUUUCGGCUUUUUGAGAUUGUGUGUUUGAUUAACAUUUGAUCGUAUGGUAUUAGAAUUUAAAUUUGAUUGGUUUUUUAAACCAAGAUUGUGCGUCAUUUGAUGUGAAUAAAUUAUGCCGACGGGGAUUUUGGUCUCUGGAUUUUUCAUGGUGUAAUUUUUAUGGCAUGAUCCAUUGGUAUCGUGUGCAUUUUUUAUCAACAAUAAUAAGAUUUUUCUCAGUAUUGCAAACAAGUUUUCUUAUAAUUGAAAUAUUUGAAAUCCCUGGUCUAUAAUCCUCUUGAUUCAUGGUUUUAACGCCUCCUGAUAAAAUAACUACAACGUUAUCACUUCUUUCAUCAGAUAGAUUUAAACAUUCUACCCAUUAUUGACUUUCUUUAACGAGUCUCACCCAUUUGUCAAAAAAUUAGAUGAGGUGACUUCAUACCAUCUCAGAGUAUUGUUAGAAUAUAAUAUGAUAUUUGAUUCUUUCUCUUUUUUUUCCCACGAGUCUCAAUUUGUAUUUGAAACAAUGUCUAAUAAACUUACCAGAUCUUCAUCGCUUAUCAUACUAUUACAGGUUUUGUUUUAAGGUUCUGAUGGAUUAAGCAAAAGCUCCUACCAAUUUAGCGGAGUGAACCAAGAUUUCAGGGCUUUUAUUAAUGACAUAUCACAGGCCAUUUUAAAGGUAAAUCUAGAUGCCAAUCGCUAUGCAAUUUAGUUUUUACUUUUAGCAUGUUCCGAGUGACCUUUGAAUUUACAUGUUUAGUUGUUUUCGUUUUACCAUCCUAAUAGGUAUGUGCGUAUUUCCAUUGUUUAGUUGUUUUCGUUUUACCAUCCUGAUAGGUAUGUGCGUAUUACCAUUCUGUUUAUCCCCAUUCUCUGGUGGUGUUUACUGCAUUGUUUCUACACAAUCUCUAAUGGUUCCAUUGCUGGACAUAAAAGAAAUUUCAACUAUUUUUUUUUCUUCUUUUUUUUUUCUAUUUAUUUAUCUGCAUGUUAUUUUGGUUUGUUGAAAUUUCGAUUAUAGUUUGUUUUGUGCUGGAUGUAAAAGUUUGUUCUUCAAUGAUUAUAUAUAGCUUAAGUACAUGGUGGUUACCAUGUUUUUCACGGUGGAUCACUUUCGUUGAUAGUAGGUUCGACAGAAAGUUGAAGAACACAUAUGAUCAACUACUUUUACGAGAUCCUGCUCAUACAUAGUUGUUUAUUUUAGCAUAGAUUUUACACUCUUACUUUUAGGGAAUGUGUGUGUAUAUAUAUGCAUGUAUGUAUGAGUUGGCACAGAUGCUCAGACAUGCCACCCAAGCCUAAGCAUUUGAAAAUGUUUGUUCUCCUUGGUGAUAGAAUUUGGCAUCUUUCAGUACACGAUGGAGAUAUCCAGGUCUCUCUUUUCUCUCUUUCCCCCUCCCUAUAUGUAGUUUAAUAUAAUUGAACAGCUCUAUUUAUUUAAGAUUUAGUUGCAUUCGUAAUUACUGAAAUUUGUUGCAAGAAAUUGGGGGAUGAAUUUGGUUUCAGGGGAAUGUUAUCCUGUUUUUUUCUUAUACUGCAUAGAAAAAAAAAAGACAAUGCAUUGGGUACAAGUAUAUGGUUUUUAUCAUUUAUUUCUGUAGUUUGAAAGUCAAUUGUGUUUUUGUUGCCGCAUCAUAUAACUAUUCAAAAUGCCCAUUUUAGCAUUUCAAUACCAUUUGCACGUCUUUGUUAGCACUUUGAAUACCUUAUCCCCAAUUUUCAAGAUCAUGCAAAACAAAGUGACAUUGCCUCUCUGUUUUUUGUAUCUUUGUUUAUCUCUCUGACAGACGAGUGCAGUGCAUGUGUCUGAAUUUAUUCAGGUUAAAUGUGUCUUCAUGCAGUUAAGACGGGUGCAUUGAAGUCCUGCAGCAACGUGCGGGCUUAUUUUCUCGUAUAUUCUAUAAGUGAUGCCAGGGAUAAGGCUAGAGAAUAAUUCAGAGCAAACGAGACUUGGCAAAGAAAAUGGGAUGGAUCCUCUUCAUACCAUCCGAAAAUGUUGAAGACGUAGGGAUAAUGUGUCUUCUUUGCUGCAAAGAAAAAAUUAAUCAAUAUGCUAUGAUUCUUAUUUCUAUUAUGUCUUAUUUUUCAAACUAUUGAAGUUAAUUAGAUGCAAAAUACCUGAGAGUCAAAUGCCGAAAAGCACAACUUUGUAUGAGAGAGACAGAGCUCAUACGGAUAUGAUGACUUCGUCGUUUAUCCGUAUGCAAGGAAUGUGAGAUAUCUUGGCCCAAUCUUCUCCCGUCUUAUCCUCGUACCUCUUCUCCAGGGUGGAACAAGAGGAGAUCACCAGGUAAGAAAGAGAGGGCGGCAAACGGUUUUCUGGCAGGAAUUGGAGUUUUGGACACCUACGAAUUCGUAGCUUUUGAAGAGAGGUGAGGUGUAGAAGUCCCUCUGCUGGAAGGGCCAGACUUGGGCAAAAAGUAAUAGUUAGAUAUUGAAGAGAAGUGAGGUGUUGAAGUCCCUCUGCUGGCAGGAAUUCCAGACUUCGGCAAUUAUGUAUAGUUAGCCGGUGAAGAGAAGUAGGGAGCAGCUGUUCCUUGAGCAACGGUGCCGAGAUCUCGCCAGCAAUUGUAAAUUCUUGAAGGGAGGCAAGUCCUUGUAAUCCCCACUCCACUGAAGGCUUCACUUUGUCGCAAUCUAUUGUAAAAUAUCGCAGGUUGGGAGGCAAACCCCCUUGGGCAAAUGAUACAAGAUUUGGAAGAUCGAAUAAUUCCAAUCGUUCUAGGGCGGUGAGGGUGCGAAUUUGUUCGGGGAACGACUUCAAAUUCUUGCACAUCCAGACCUUCAAUUCUCUCAAGUUGGGAGUAGGCAAUCCUUCGUCCGGGAAAGACGCCAUAUUUGGACAGUCGUUGAUUUCUAGCUGAAUGAGAUGGCUUAGGUUCUGAUCAACUCCUUCAAUAGAAAAGGAUUCCAGAUUCUCACAGCCAUGGAUCAAAAGAGUUGAAAGUUUGGGGAAAACGCCCAACGGGAAGGACCCCACUGAAUGAAAACUAUCGUAUAUCUUCAAAUCCUCAAGGGAUGUCAAUUCGGCCAUCAUCUCAUGAGAUAAGAACUCUAAUGACCCCACAGUUGGGCAAAAGCUGAAAGUCAAUCUUCGAAGAUAUUUCAUUUUUGGCAGGCUCCAAAAUUUUGCAUCAGAAUUGGAAAUUCCAAGUGUAGACAACUUCUUCUCUACUCUCUCUAUUAAUGAUGUAGAUAUCCACACCUAGACACGCUAAGUGUUUUCAAGCAUGGAAGAUGAUUGGGCAAGUAUCCUCUCAGCUUCUUACAGUAACUUAUUCUCAGCACCUCGAGACAAGGAAAAUCUGAACAUCGACCUCCACUUGGACUCGGUAACCAAUCCUCCCACUCUGGCAUCUCCUUAAACUCUAGCGUCUUCAGAGACCGAAAGGGCUGAAUUACAGAAGCUCCAUUAAGAUCACCAUAGAAUUCAACACCAACCGUCCUAACAAAUUUCAUUCUUUCGACACGUAGCUCUUUAAGAGUGGGCAGCUGCCCAAAACUUGGCAAGGACAAACAAUACUUACAAUCACUGAUCCACAUGAACCGUAUGUUAUAGAAGGAAUUAGAGCUUCCUAACCAGUUUGGGAAGCUGGUUCCUCCAUAGAAUCUGAUAGUCAGUUUCUCCAAAUUUACGCAAGGUUGGAGCUUGUCAAGCACAUCUCUCUCCUUUUGGGAAUCAUCGGCGUCCUCCUUACCCCAUUCCAACUCUAAGUCCUUGAGUUCUUUCUUAUCCUUCAAGUUGGCUUCCAAUGCAUCCACAACUUGAACUACAUUGUACAGAUUUGAAAUAUGAAGUCUUCCUUGAAGAUGCUGUAACUCCCUUAAUUCUCCAAUGCUAGACCCGGUAGAUUUCCCCACAACGAAAGCAGUUAAUGUUCUCAAACUUUUUAGUCUUCCAAUUGCCACUGGCAUCCCUUGUAUGUUUGUUUUACUGACAUCGAGGUAUUGCAAACUACUCAAUUCCCUCAUAUCCACAGGUAAUUUAGUAAGGGAGCUGCAACCUGCCAAUGUUAAUGUCCGUAAAUUUAUCAAUCUUCUCAUGUCUGCUGGCAGUUCAAUGAGAGCAUAACAAUAUGACAGCAGUAACGUCUGCAAAUUGUAGAGAGUGCAAACUGCACCAGGUAAGCUUACAAUUGCUGUAUGGGAGAGAUCCAAGUAGCGCAGGUGAAUGAAAUUGCCCACAGAAUCAGGUACUUCAACAACAUUUUCAUAAUAGGACAAUGAUAAAACCCGUAAACGUUUCAGGGAUGGCAACAAAUCUUGUUGAAACUUUUGACUUAUGUAGAUCGUCCCAUAUGCUUCAAAAGACGUAGGUAGGAAGGUCCGCAGACACUUGGCCCCAUUUAAGGGCUCAAAUUUUUUAGCAGGAUCAAUUUCUCCCCUAGCAUAUGACAAAUGACGAAGUCUUUUAACUUCUUGUGAUUCCUUCUCUUCCAACCUGAGAAAAAAUCCCCUAGACAUGAACUGACCCAAGUCGUUAAGAAGAUCAUGCAUUGUGAAACCAUGCUCCCUUGAUUUUUGAAGUAGUGAUCGUGAUACUAGCUCAUUGAAGUAACUUCUAGCCGUCUCUUCCAUUCUUUGCCCGUUAAAAUCAUGUGGAAUUAAACCUUCUGCCAUCCAAAGUAGAACUACAUCUUCAUUCUUGAACAAAUAGUCUUUUGGAAAUAGUGAACAAUACACAAAGCAUCGUUUCAACUGAGCAGGGAGAUAAUGAUAGCUCAACCGUAGGGCUGGAAGGAUAUCACUUUUAUCAUAAGGUAGCUCCCAAAGCCUACUAUUUAAUAAUUUAUUCCAUUCCUUGAAGUCUCUCUGGCAACGUAAUAGACCCCUGAGUGUCUCUGCUGCUAAAGGCAAACCAUUGCACUUGCUUGCAAUUUUCUUGCCAAUUUCCUCCAAAGUUGGAUAUGCAUUGUGGUUUUCAUGUCCAAAUGCAUGUUUUGCAAGUAACAUCCAACAAUCUUCAUGCGAUAAAGGUUUCAAGUGUUGAAUGGGCACAUUUUUCAUGAGAGAUGCGACAUUUUCGCUUCGUGUUGUCACGAUGACUUUACUUCCCCUUGCCCCGGAAGUAAAAGGAGUUUGUAGGCACCUCCAAUCAGAAUAUUUCUCACUCCAAAGGUCAUCCAAUACAAAUAAGAAUUUCUUUCCCCUCAAUUGUUCCCUAAGUUCAACUUGAAGCGAAUUCAAAUCUGUCAUCUUAGAAGGCUUUGAAGUCAGCGACUCGAGAAGAGUUUUAGUCACCCUAAUAGCAUCAUAAUCUUCUGAAACACAAGCCCAAGAUCUAAGGGCAAAGUGCUCUUUCACCUUAUCAUCAUUGUAAAGGGCUCGAGCAAGGGUCGUCUUGCCAACCCCGCCCAUACCAACAAUGGUGAUGAUAGAUACAUCAUCCUCGCUUGCAUCAUCAGAGAACAAGACUUUUGAUAAAUUUUCUUUAUCUCCGUCUCUUCCAUAUACACAAGGUUCAUGAAUCAAGGAAGUUGUUGGAGUUCUUUGUGAACCCUUCCUCGCAACAUCUCCCGUCAGACCAAGGGCAACCUUCUGUUGCACAAAGCCAUCCAGCCUUUGUAAUAACCCUUGUAUCUCAACAUUCAUGCGUUGAUAAAAAUGAGUAGGAGAAGUAGAGAAGAAGUUCCACACCUUGUCGGUUAAUUUGUCGGUUUGACCUUCACCUUCCACCUUGCAUCGCAAAGCUUCAGUGUCGAUCUCAUCCAGCAAGUCCUCCGCGUCCAAGACAGCAUGCUUGAGCCCGUCAAGCCAUUUUCUCAUAGCAAGGUUUGAAAUUUGCUUCUCUUCUGCAUCAUUGAGGACUGCACAAAGGGCGGGCAGCGUCACCUUCAGUUUCUCGAGGAGGGGUUCGUCCAGCUUCUUCUGCAGGAACAAGUCACCAAACUCGGUUGAA
Molecule: non-coding RNA, 8283 nt
Organism: Malus domestica (apple)
Lineage: Eukaryota; Viridiplantae; Streptophyta; Magnoliopsida; Rosales; Rosaceae
Source: RefSeq, a predicted model, not a curated record